Molecule: ribosomal RNA, 470 nt
Filed under: uncultured archaeon
Lineage: Archaea
Description: bacterial SSU rRNA
Rfam family: Archaeal small subunit ribosomal RNA
Source: RNAcentral
GGAUCCCAAGUGCUUGCUCGUAAGAGUAAGCUGUUUUUAUGUCUAAAAAGCAUAGAGAGUAAGGGCUGGGUAAGACGGGUGCCAGCCGCCGCGGUAAUACCUGCAGCUCAAGUAGUGACCGCUAUUAUUGGGCCUAAAACGUUCGUAGCCGGUUUGAUAAAUGCCUGGGUAAAUAGUGUAGCUUAACUAUACGAAUUCCGGGUAGACUGUUAAACUUGAGACCGGGAGAGGCUAGAGGUACUCCUGGGGUAGAGGUGAAAUUCUGUAAUCCUGAGGGGACCACCAGUGGCGAAGGCGUCUAGCUAGAACGGGUCUGACGGUGAGGAACGAAGCCCUGGGGCGCGAACCGGAUUAGAUACCCGGGUAGUCCAGGGUGUAAACGCUGCUUGCUUGAUGUUAGUUGGGCUCCGAGCCCAAUUAGUGUCGGAGAGAAGUUGUUAAGCAAGCUGCCUGGAAGUACGAUCGCAAGA